AAUUUCAAAAUAUCAGUCAGUAAACCAUCAAUAUCAUUUCUGGAUUCGAGCUUUAGGGUUCGACUGGUUGAAUCCAGGUCGUGGCAGUAAUUUGACGUUUUACAUACGAUGAAGGGAAUAACCUCCGCGAUUCCUGCUUUGAUUCUACCGUUCCCUGGUAUUCUCUUCCAUUUUCCUUUUCUAAACUGCCCAUUACGUGUUUCCUUUCAAGUUUUUCCACAGCUUCUGUUGAAAAUGUGAAUAUGGGUAUGUCUAAACCCACCCAUCUGGAGACAUUGGUCAUAGAUAAGUGUAAAUCGAGAUCCUUUGAGCUUGAUGAAGCUCUGGGGUUUUUUUCAAUUUCAUGAUUUUAAUGAGAAACUUGCCCUCAAUUAGGAACUGAUUUUAGGGAGCAUGAUUUAGUUAUGUUUUUUAUUUUAUUUUCAUGAAUUUUCAAUAAAAAUAUAACCUUUUUUUCGUUUCCAUGACAUUGAAUUUCGAUAUACGGGGGAACUGUAAAUUCUAAAACACAGUGGUAGAAUGUUGGAUUUCCAAAAGAAGGGAAUUCUUUUUCUUUUUUUUUUCUGGGUUUGACAAACAUGGAUCUAGUAGGACUGGAAGUCAAAGUGUCAAACAAACGGUAUGCUUUAUCAAAUGGAAUUCCAUGAGAGCCUAAGCCUGGUCUUAGCUGAUUUAUUUAAGAAUUUGUCUUUGAUUUGAUCUUAUUCGAAUGCCACCCAUGCUAAAAUUAGCUCUACGGUUUAAAAUGGGACUAAAAAUUCGAACGAGAGCUGAUAAAGAGAAGAGAAAAGGGGGAAUUUAUAGGCCGUUGGAACUUUGGAUUAUGAGUCCUUAACGUAUGAACUAGUUCGACAGAUUUAACUAUUGGUUCUCUUACCGGUCAGUAGCUGUUUUGGGUCCAUAAUGAAGAAUUUUGUAGAUAUUUCACCAUUUGUUCCAGGAAAAAAAGUAGGAAAGAACAAUGAAGCUUCGUGCUCUUCCUUUUCUGGCAAUCAGAUAAGAGAUGUGGGUGGUUUCUGUUAAUUUUUGAUAAAGUGUUUGAUUUGGAAAUGUAAUACAAUGAUAGAUUCUGUACAUUUAGCAUUGGCUUUGUAGAGCAGUGCUAGGCAUCCUUUUCCUGCUCACUAUACAGAGAACAUAUAAAUACAAAGAAGAUAUUGAAGUGGAGGAAAGUAAGUGUGGGUUACCUUUUAUCGCAUUUCUUGUAUGUUGAGAAACUCAAAGAAUAAAUAAAGGAAAUAACACUUUAAUCAUCUAUUAUUAGUUCCAAAUUCGAAGCCUGCCUAUACCAUGCAUGGAUUCACCAAAAAAGAGUGAGUCAGUUUGUGUGGUUAAUUCUUAUAUAUAAUUUUUGAGUUCAUGGUAUUUGUGUAGUUGAGGAUCCCAUCAACUGAUCAGCUUUAAAUUUUUAUGCUCUCAACUAGUUGUCAACACCUAAUGAGAAAUCUCAGUUUGACAUAGCCUUUUCUGUCUCCGAUGUCAAGGAUAAGUAUAAGGAUGCUGCUUUAGAACCAAAAUGGAAGGCAUUCCAGACAGUUAUAUUUCUUGAGCGGAUUCUUCUUUCAUGGUUGUAUAUUCUGAAGUUUAAUAAUUGCUGCUUUUGAUUUUGAUGGUUGUCUGGCUAACACGUCUGUUAAAAGAGUUGGUGCAGAUACUUGGUCCCUUAUGUAUCCUUCAAUACCAGAGAAGCUGCAAAGUCUUUAUGAAGAGGGCUUUAAGCUGGUAAUCUUUACAAACGAAUCCAAUGUGCUGCUUAAAGUUUCCAGCUAAAAAGCAAUUAUGGGAUUGAUGGGGACAGUCCAGGCUUUGAGGUCUCCUGGGAUCUUUGAAUACAUUAAGUAAAACAACUUGUUAGGUUUUUAUAGCUUGCGGAAUAGGCAGUUCUGGUGGUAAAGCAGAUGAUCUUUCCGCAAACCAAAUACUGGGAUGUGGCACAUCAUGGAGAAAAAUUUCAAUUCUGGCAUUCCAAUUGAUAUGGAUCAGUUAUUUUUCUGUCUUCAUUAUAUUGUUUCACUAUU
Molecule: long non-coding RNA, 2018 nt
Organism: Hibiscus syriacus
Lineage: Eukaryota; Viridiplantae; Streptophyta; Magnoliopsida; Malvales; Malvaceae
Exons: 6
Source: RefSeq, a predicted model, not a curated record